GCGGCGGAAGCCGGGAACAUAUGGUCCGGGGACCCGCAGAGCCCGGCCUGCUGCAGGCCUUCCACAGCGGACUCGCGUUCCUGGCCUGACCCCCGAUGAUCGCUGCGGGCAGCCCCCGAGGAGGAUGUGAUUCAAGGGACCUGUAGGUGGAGGAUCGUGGCGCUGCGGACGCAUUCUUGCUGCCAGGAAAGGGGCCAUUUGCGUGGAGGGCGUCAGCACCACCCAGAGAUGAGAGGGGACUUGGGGCGCUCCAGAAAUCAAAAGGAUGGCUCUCGGGACCACCCCACAAGUAGCCAGGAGACCUCAUGCCAUGGACAGUGCUCAGAGACUUUCAUACGGUUCUUGAAAGUAACUUCUCUUUAUGAGUAAUUAGAAUAAGAAUAGCUCAUUUAAGUGCUAGGAACAAUAUUUUGCAUACAUUAAUUAGGUCCAAUUCUCUUAACAACUCUGAGGUGGGUAUUUUCAUUCAUCAUUUUCGUAUAAGGAAACCUAGGUUGUUGGACGUUUAGCGUAUCUUGCUUCCGGACACACAGCCCAGUCACAGAUCUGCUCUGUACCAGGCAGUCCCUGCCUCUCACCCCUCCAGUUUGUUCUUUUAACUCUGGCCAGCUACCCCAACGGGGGGAAAGAUAAUUGAAAAGGAAAGGAUCUCUGUACUAGUGUUGAAGUGAGGAAGCGGGCAUGGGCAACAGCUGCUGAGGCCUGAGAACGUCAGUGAAGAAUUUCCUGAGGAGGGGAAACUUGAUCUGAACUUGAAUAGAGAGCCUAGGAAGGAGGGGCUCCAUUAGCUGAACUAUGCCUCUGACUCCUUCAAGGUUUUAGGAGAUGUAAGCUUCCCAACCCCCUUCUCCAGUGCUGGGGAAAGGACCAUGUUAUCAAAGAUAUCACCUCCCUUCUUUUCUGGCAGCCCCUAAGUCCUGGGCACCCUGCAGGCCAGCCACCCUAAAUGCCAGUUCAAGAGCCAUCAUCUCUUGCCUAGAUGCUGCAGAAGCCUCGUCCCUAUUCCUGCCUGGCUCCUUUCUUCCAUCCUGCAGCCACGGUGGCCUAACUACAUGCUAAUCAACAGCCUAAAACCCUUCCAUGGCUCUCCACUGCCUUUGGGAUAAUGUUCCAACUCCCUACCCUGGCAUAGAAAGCCCUUCAUGAUGUGUUUAUUGCCAUAUCUCUGCCUUAGACUUUUCCCUAAAGUUUACAUAAAAGCAAUAUGGAAGGGACCAAAGGUAUAAGUAGACUGAGCCACAAGGCAGAUAAAAGCUGUGAGAGCAGUUUGGAGUGGGAAGCUGGUAGGCGGCAAAGAAGCACAACGAUACAGGAAGAGAGGCAGAGACAAAGACCACCAGUCAAAGUAAUCAUGAGGCUGGGUUGGGGUCACUGCUGAGGGGUUAAGGCAGCCCAAGAGCUGUCCCACACCCAGAGUGAGCCCCCAUGCCUGAGUCCCAGUCCAGCCAACAGGAGCCCAGCUGUAAAGCUGUUUCUGGUUUCCCACGAGAUUCCCAAGUCCCUUCUCUAUUCUUGAAAUAACUCCCAAUUACUUGAAGUAGCCUGAAUGAACCAAAAAAGCCUAAUAUGAUAAAGAUGGUAAUUGAAGCCAUAGCUGUGGAUGUAAACUUCCCGGAGAACAUGUAGAAUGAGAACAGAAGAUUGUCUAAGAAUGGAGGAGUUAGGGGGGCAGCCAGGCUUCCAGGGGCAAGGGACUAAGAGGGAGUGCAGAGUGCAAAGAGGACAAUCCAGCAGGAGGUUGACCACCCCUGGUAUUUAAGGGGUGGAUAGAAAAAGACAACAAGGAGAAAGAGAAUGAGAGAGAAUGGCAAGUGAAAUAGAGGAAAACUAGAAAUU
Long non-coding RNA from Choloepus didactylus (southern two-toed sloth), 1836 nucleotides. RefSeq lists it as uncharacterized. NCBI's taxonomy places the organism in Eukaryota, Metazoa, Chordata, Mammalia, Pilosa, Megalonychidae. The transcript has 3 exons. The record is from RefSeq and is a predicted model, not a curated record.